UGGCAUCUGAAGAAUCAGAAGGAC
RNAcentral lists this non-coding RNA (24 nucleotides) under Cricetulus griseus (Chinese hamster). Lineage: Eukaryota; Metazoa; Chordata; Mammalia; Rodentia; Cricetidae. The record is from RNAcentral.